RNAcentral lists this long non-coding RNA (241 nucleotides) under Gossypium raimondii (Peruvian cotton). Its description in RNAcentral is "long non-coding RNA (GRAI_LNC000348)". Lineage: Eukaryota; Viridiplantae; Streptophyta; Magnoliopsida; Malvales; Malvaceae. The record is from RNAcentral.
ACUAACUUCAAAUAAAAUGACUACGUAAGAUACUUAAGCCAAGUGGCAAGUGUCCAUUGGUUGACGGGUGACAGGUGAAAGAUACUUGUCUCAAGGCAUCCGUUCAUAUUGGGCAAGAAUAAUAGUGGGAAAUACUGCUACAUCAAAAUGAAUAAGGUUUUGGAGAUUAAUGUGGAGAUUCAAAAAUUAUAUAAAACGACUUGCUUUUACUCUUGAGACACCCCUGAAUGUUUUUCCAAAG